This 440-nucleotide ribosomal RNA is filed under the name uncultured bacterium. RNAcentral's name for it is "partial 16S ribosomal RNA". It matches the Rfam family "Bacterial small subunit ribosomal RNA", at positions 338 to 795 of the family's 1533-position model. The record is from RNAcentral.
CCUACGGUGGGCAGCAGUAGGGAAUAUUGCUCAAUGGGGGAAACCCUGAAGCAGCAACGCCGCGUGGGGGAUGAAGGUUUUAGGUUUGUAAACUCCUUUUUUUAGAGAAGAUUAUGACGGUAUCCAACCACUAAUCCCCGGCUAACUCCGUGCCAGCAGCCGUGGUUAUACGGAGGGUGCAAGCGUUAUUCGGAAUCACUGGGCGUAAAGAGUGCGUAGGCGGGGUAAUAAGUCAGAUGUGAAAUCCUGUAGCGUAACUACAGAACUGCAGUUGAAACUGUUACUCUGGAGUGUGGGAGAGGUAGGUGGAAUUCUUGGUGUAGGGGUAAAAUCCGUAGAGAUCGAGAGGAAUACUCAUUGCGAAGGCGACCUGCUGGAACAUUACUGACGCUGAGGCACGAAAGCGUGGGGAGCAAACAGGAUUAGAUACCCUGGUAGUC